Molecule: ribosomal RNA, 491 nt
Filed under: uncultured bacterium
Lineage: Bacteria
Description: bacterial SSU rRNA
Rfam family: Bacterial small subunit ribosomal RNA
Source: RNAcentral
AAAGGAAUAGACGGGCACCCGCACAAGCGGUGGAGCAUGCUGUUUAAUUCGAAGAUACGCGAAGAACCUUACCUGGGUUUGACAUCCUCUGGACCGCUCUAGAAAUAGAGCUUUCCUUCGGGACUGGAGGACAGGUGGUGCAUGGUUGUCGUCAGCUCGUGUCGUGAGAUGUAGGGUUAAGUCCCAUAACGAGCGCAACCCUCGUCCUUAGUUGCUAACAUUUAGUUGAGGACUCUAAGGAGACUGCCGGUGAUAAACCGGAGGAAGGUGGGGAUGACGUCAAAUCAUCAUGCCCCUUACAUCCAGGGCUACAGGCGUGCUACAAUGGCCGGUAUAAUGAGAUGCAAUGUCGUGAGAUGGAGCUAACCUCUAAAACCGGUCUCAGUUCGGAUUGAAGUCUGCAACUCGACUUCAUGAAGUUGGAAUCGCUAGUAAUCGCAAAUCAGAAUGUUGCGGUGAAUACGUUCCCGGGUGUUGUACACACCGCCCGU